GGAAGGGAAGUUGACCUCCCUGGGAUGUCGUCACUUCAUUAGUGGCUGCACCUGCGCAAUCAUGUGAUGCGAUACAUUUUUCAAAGACGUUUUUCAAGACACAGGAGAGGUCGGGUUGAAACAUUACUGAUGUUUCACGUUAAAAAUGGCUCUAAAGAUUGAUGCUAAACAACGUUUGACAUGUUUGAACGAACGUAAAUAGAUUUUUUUUUUUACUUUUCGCCGUGACUCCCCCCCCCCCGCUAAUUUUUAGUUGCCUACCGAAGCGCUAACAACUUGGAGUUAUUUGGACAUCAAUUAUGAACUUUGUUGAAAGAAACCACAUUUGUAGUGGACCUGGGAUUCCUGGAAGUGCCAAUGGAUGAAGAUAAUCAAAGGCAAACAAGGCUGCCAGGGGCCCCGGUUAACACAAGGUCACACAUGAUGCUGCAGGAGACAGACUAAGAACACUUCACUGAUGGUGUUUUCUGCUGUCACACUAGAGUUCCCCUGAACACAACCCAACACUCACUGGCUGUCAACAACACAGUCUGUGUACUCCACCUUUCUUCACGUAUCCCCUUGGUCUUCAGCAGAAAGAUACAGUAAGUAGCUUCAGUUGCUAACCCCAGAGAGCUCUGCCUCAUCAUCAUCAUGGCCAUAAGGAAUCCAUUCCCCUCCACAUCCCAGCAGGGAGAUGUCAUGGACCAUGUAAUGCUACAAGGAAGUACAAACAGGCACACAAACAUGCAGUGAACACAGCAGAGACACAUCACUAACACUGGAGUGGAGCCUAUCCUCACUGUGUGACUCUCUACUAAAACACAGGUUCAGACCACCCACCUUGCAUGACACAAUUAAAACCAGAACUCUUUACCCUUGUUUAAUUUAUAACAGUUGUCGUGGAAAUUACCACUAAGGACUCCAAGUCAAAGUUAAAUGAACAUAUCUUUAUUAUCACGGCCAGAGACGUUACAAGAAACGUAAUACUCAAAGUACAAGUCUGUCAGAAGCUCUGAAGGGAUUCUCUCCCUUCAGCACUCUUUAUACUCAGGCACAAACUAGGCGUCUCUGCUCUCAGGGUGCAAUAAGCUGAUCAUGACCUUGCACACACAGUUUCUAGGCGUUGGGCAAAAGUAUCAAUGUGUUCCUUUCUUUCUGUUCUUCUUCUAUCAGUCCCUGAUAGCAAAAGUCACAUAACAGAGCAAAGUCACAAAACAUCCUAACACAACAAGAAACAACACACUAAAUGUAAUCACGCAUUUGCAGAGACACAGAAGACACAAACAUUUCCACUACACAGUUCUACCUCCACGGGGUAAAGCUCUAAUAUGUACAAUAGUUAUUUGAUACCUGAAACACACUAUGCACGCACACACGGACUCACGCACGCACACGCAAACUCUUUUACCUCCUUUCUGGUUGGCAUCUGCUCAUGUCUCCUCAUUCGUGUCAAAGUGGCCACUGAAGCCAUGUGAGUGAUGAGCCUAAACACAGACAAUGUCAGGCUAUGAUUCCUAUAUCCUAGUUGGCAUGGAGAACACAGCAGACAUGCCAGAGUAAUGGCUAGGGACACAUGAUGGAGCUCGCCACUGAUCCACUGCAUCUGGAGAAAAAUGAACUUCUGUGGGAGCUAAUGAGUCUGUUUUGCAAGAUUCCCCGAGUCAUUUAUGAAACACAUCCAUAUUCAUUACAGGGAGCCUUUUUUUGUUUGUCAAUUUUGAUAUUUUCUCAAGACAAACAUGAGUAACUUGUGCCUUUAGAUCUGUAAAGCAGGGAUAAAGUAGGUGUCGUCUGCUGUAACGCAACAAAUCAACACAGAUUCCAGAGACAAACUCUGACAGUUAACCGGUUACAUCAUCAGUGUUAUGGAUCUCUGACCUAUACUGCAUAGUGUGUAAACUGUACUAGCAUUUCAUGUACUUCCUUAAAAGUACAGUAUUUGCAGAAUAUUAUCAAUUCAAAUUCUCUCAUACUGUAACUUUGGCCCCCCUAGGCCCAUAUUAGUUAGCAUUUCAAAUCAUUGAAAACACUGUCCACAAUAUUCAUAAUUUAGUACUGCAUCCAAUAGAGACUUAGAUUCAUGUUGGGACCAUAUUCUGAAUCAAACUGGCAUUUUAUCUCAUGCAGUAUAUUUCAUUACUCACUACAGUGGGAAGUUUAAGGUUCUGCAGAUUCAUUAGUUGACAGAUUGUAACUCAUCUUGGAUGAUAUUCUCCAAGGCUUGACUUUAAUAAAUCUGCUUUCCACCACACAGAGGCUGAAUCCAAUACUUACGGGGCAUUCAGGUACCCAUCGGGAAGUGGAAAACUUCCCAAUAGGGAAGUCUUAAAGUGGAACUGACAGUGUUUAUAUAAGGCCACAAGGCGAGACUCAGAUGCAGACACAGGAGGCAGAUGGUUUGAGUCUUGAUAUUUAUUAAACAAUCCAAAAGGGGUAGGCAAGAGAAUGGUCGUGGACAGGCAAAAGGUCAAAACCAGUUCAGUGUCCAGGAGGUACAGAGUGGCAGGCAGGCUCAAGGUCAGGUCAGGCAGGUGGGUACAGAGUCCAGAAAACAGACAAGGGUCAAAAACCAGGAGGACUAGCAAAAGAGAAUAGAAGCAGGAGUACAGGAAAACAUACAAGACGAAAAACAUACAAGACGAACUGGCACAGAGAGACAGGAAACACAGGGAUAUAUACACCAGGGAUAAUAAGC
Molecule: long non-coding RNA, 2677 nt
Filed under: Salmo salar (Atlantic salmon)
Lineage: Eukaryota; Metazoa; Chordata; Actinopteri; Salmoniformes; Salmonidae
Description: lncRNA (ENSSSAG00000084910.1)
Source: RNAcentral